Molecule: ribosomal RNA, 481 nt
Filed under: uncultured bacterium
Lineage: Bacteria
Description: partial 16S ribosomal RNA
Rfam family: Bacterial small subunit ribosomal RNA
Source: RNAcentral
GACGAACGUUGGCGGCGUGCUUAAUACAUGCAAGUCCACUGAAGCAGUGGUAGCAAUAUCGCUGUGGAGGUGGCGCACGGGUGAGUAACACGUAGGUAAUCUGCCUUCAGGUCUGGCAUAACUCCGGGAAACCGGGGCUAAUAGCAGAUGAUGCAGCGGCUCGACAUCGUGACAGUUGUUAAAGCUAUGGCGCCUGAAGAUGAGCCUGCGUCUGAUUAGCUAGUUGGCGGGGUAACGGCCCACCAAGGCAACGAUCAGUAGCUGGUCUGAGAGGAUGACCAGCCAGAGUGGAACUGAGACACGGCUCAGACUGCUACGCGAGGCAGCAGUAAGGAAUAUUGCGCAAUGGGAGAAAUCCUGAAGCAGCAACGCCGCGGGAGGGACGAAGGGCUUUUGCUUGUAAAGCUCUGUAGUGAGAGAAAAAAAUCCCAAUCUGUGGGACAUGAUGGUAUCUCAAAAGUAAGCCCCGGCUAACUACGUG